Phyllostomus discolor (pale spear-nosed bat) is the source of this 607-nucleotide long non-coding RNA. RefSeq lists it as uncharacterized. NCBI's taxonomy places the organism in Eukaryota, Metazoa, Chordata, Mammalia, Chiroptera, Phyllostomidae. The transcript has 2 exons. The record is from RefSeq and is a predicted model, not a curated record.
UUCCAGAUGCAGUUUCUGUUGCUUGCAAAAAUGAGCUCUGACUACUGUAAGUAGGAAGGAGAUGGACAGGAACUGAGAAGACAUCUCAAGGACACUCCAUAGGAAAGCUAAACUGCAAUGAGAUAAGCUACACUAUUUCAAGACCUUGGAUUAGACUCAAGUAUCUUGGUAAGGUCUAUGUAUCUCCUUCUCUUUCUCUACCCUAUUCACUGCUGAGGUAAGUCCUGUUUGUUGCCUAUCCAAUAUCCAUUCUUCCCUUCAUUCUUAGUAACAGAGCUCUGAUUUAAUUGGGGUCACGGGAAUCAUGAGCUAAGGUGAAAGGCCACAUUUCUAAGAGUCCCUUGCAGCUGGAUAUGGUUAAAUGACUCAAUUGCAUUCAAUUACAUGAAAUAAUAAAUUGUUGAAUGGCACUUCCCAGAAAAUUCCCCAACAAGUAGCUGGAUGAGCCAUCCUGGCCUUUUCCAACAUUUCCUGUCAUCACCUUCCUUUUACUUGCCAACUGGGAUUCAGACAAGAUGUCUAGAUCAUAGCAGACAUCCUUAACUACAAGGCAGAUGUGAGGAUGAAAGCCAGCAUAUUUUGUCAGGAUGGAAGCCAGAGACAAGGA